This is a long non-coding RNA of Papaver somniferum (opium poppy), 1106 nucleotides long. RefSeq lists it as uncharacterized. The record is from RefSeq and is a predicted model, not a curated record. NCBI's taxonomy places the organism in Eukaryota, Viridiplantae, Streptophyta, Magnoliopsida, Ranunculales, Papaveraceae. The transcript has 7 exons.
CGUUCAACUCUCCUGAGCUAGAACCCUAGCUUUUGUUGCGGAUCGGCCAUGGAUUCAACUAUGGAAUCAGGGUUUUCCUUUAUUUUGACAAAUUUUUCUUCUCCUAUUCAAAGGAUUUUUCUGUAUUCCUCUUUCCGAGAUUAAGGUUACGCGAAAUCCAUUUGGAUUGAUUUGUUGGAUUUAUUCUCAACUUCAGUUGGAUUUGGAGAAAAGCAAGGAUGGAUUGCUUGAAUGCAAAACGUUUGUGUUCUUCUUUUUGUUCUACAUAUUUGAAUGUUACCAUGGGAUCCUUUUAGUAUCUGAUUGGUUUGAUGUGCUUGUUUGUUGUAUAUUGACUCUUUUGGUUGUGUUUUUUUUUUUUUCGUUUUGGUAACAAGGUACUCCUUGCAUUACGGAUUGCUUCAUGGCAGAGAAGGAGAAGUUAGGUCAGAAGUAAUGAGUAGCUUUGAGGAUUGGAAAGGAUCCUUGGUUUGAGAGACUCCCAUGUACCCACAAAGGAACUUAUGCCGAUGAUUUUAUGGUUGAUAGAGUUACGUAAUCUGAUAUCAAAGAAGACGUUAAUAGUGGAUAUACUGAUCUGUACUAUUUUCAUGAGAUAGAGAUUUGAAGUGGAGAAUUCGCAAGGUUUCUGCCUUUCCAAUCAUGUACAUCACUAGCCAUAAGUUUGAAGUACUCGAUUGAGGGACUACCUAAAGCAACCCUUGGUGGAGCUCCAUGAUAUGGAGAUGAUCAUAUACAAGAUAGAACAACUUCUACUGGGGUUUCUGAAACUCAAUAUUUUGCGAGCGCAAAUGUUGAUAGUGCAAAGCCACCAAAUGAUGACAAUUAUGACUGCAUGAUUGAAGAAAUCAUUGGCAAGUGAGAUGUUAUGCGAUAGAGAUGAUGGAGCACGUGGAAAAGCUCAUGUUUCAAAGGGUGAGAUGAUUCAGCAACCAAAAGAUUAUGUAACUCCUGUAGGAGAGCUUGCAAUUAGAGUGGCAAGGUUAUAACAGAUUGAAUUCAGUUUUAGCAAGAAUUCAUGUUGCGAUUUGUUUUCAGAGAUUCGAUGUUCUUGAAUGUUAUUUUGGGUAAUUGAUAUAAAUUUAGUUUCACACUGUUUCCUUUAA